GGCCACAUGAGUAACUGCCAACUAAACUUUCAAGGGGGAAGUGGGAGAGGGAAGCCUGUGGCAGAGAUAAGGAAGACCCAUAUCCUCGAGAGUGGUCUUGGGAAUCAACAAUGGCUCUCCUGAAGGUCUUGGAUCUUGGGUCAGACCGAACAAUCUACCUGGAAAUCUGCCCAGCAACCUUUGCCAGUGCAGUUUAUUUCUGCACCUAAGCUGUUAAGCCCAUAGGUACAGGCCCCAGGGGCCCAAGGAAGAGGGAGCUGAAGGCUUAUCAGGGAUGAUAAAGAAUCAAACACAAGAGAAAGAGCUCUUUACUAGAGACAUUUCCCAGAAGCAAUCCAAAGGCUAAGACAACACUCCAUAUGCUUAAGAGGGCUAAACAGCAACCAGGAAAAAAAAAACCCAUUUUGCAAGAGGGAAAGACAAAAGAUGGAGAUGAAGGAAUAGCCAAACCUUAAAUCUGCCUCUGGCCUUGCUGGCGGCUCC
Ailuropoda melanoleuca (giant panda) is the source of this 483-nucleotide long non-coding RNA. RefSeq lists it as uncharacterized. The transcript is spliced from 4 exons. The record is from RefSeq and is a predicted model, not a curated record. Lineage: Eukaryota; Metazoa; Chordata; Mammalia; Carnivora; Ursidae.